GAUGAACGCUGGCGGCGUGCUUAACACAUGCAAGUCGAACGGGAAACAUUUUAUUGAAGCUUCGGCAGAUUUAGCUUGUUUCUAGUGGCGGACGGGUGAGUAACGCGUGGGUAACCUGCCUUAUACUGGGGGAUAACAGCCAGAAAUGACUGCUAAUACCGCAUAAGCGCACAGAACCGCAUGGUUCGGUGUGAAAAACUUAGGUGGUAUAAGAUGGACCCGCGUUGGAUUAGCUAGUUGGCAGGGCAGCGGCCUACCAAGGCGACGAUCCAUAGCCGGCCUGAGAGGGUGAACGGCCACAUUGGGACUGAGACACGGCCCAGACUCCUACGGGAGGCAGCAGUGGGGAAUAUUGCACAAUGGGGGAAACCCUGAUGCAGCGACGCCGCGUGAAGGAAGAAGUAUCUCGGUAUGUAAACUUCUAUCAGCAGGGAAGAUAAUGACGGUACCUGACUAAGAAGCCCCGGC
This 468-nucleotide ribosomal RNA is filed under the name uncultured bacterium. Its description in RNAcentral is "bacterial SSU rRNA". It matches the Rfam family "Bacterial small subunit ribosomal RNA", at positions 28 to 497 of the family's 1533-position model. The record is from RNAcentral.